Molecule: unclassified non-coding RNA, 419 nt
Filed under: soil metagenome
Description: partial contains 5.8S ribosomal RNA, internal transcribed spacer 2, and large subunit ribosomal RNA
Rfam family: 5.8S ribosomal RNA (bases 1-120)
Source: RNAcentral
GAUGAAGAACGUAGCGAAAUGCGAUAAGUAAUGUGAAUUGCAGAAUUCAGUGAAUCAUCGAAUCUUUGAACGCAUCUCGCGCUCCUUGGUAUUCCUUGGAGCAUGCCUGUUUGAGUAUCAUGAGCAAAUCUCAAAGUCAAUUCCUUUUGUUAAUUCAAUUGGUUUUGCUUUGGACUUGGAGGUCUUGCAGAUUUCACAGUCUGCUCCUCUUAAAUGCAUUAGCUGGAUCUCAGUAAUUAUGCUUGGUUCCACUCGGCGUGAUAAGUAUCACUCGCUGAGGACACUGUUAAAAAGGUGGCCAGGAAAAUACUGAUUGAACCGCUUCUAACGGUCUAUUAAGUUAGACAAUUGACCCUUAAGUUUGAUCUCAAAUCAGGUAGGACUACCCGCUGAACUUAAGCAUAUCAAUAAGCGGAGGA